Molecule: ribosomal RNA, 273 nt
Filed under: Favella ehrenbergii
Lineage: Eukaryota; Ciliophora; Spirotrichea; Tintinnida; Xystonellidae
Description: partial Bacterial large subunit ribosomal RNA
Rfam family: Bacterial large subunit ribosomal RNA
Source: RNAcentral
GGUUUAGAACGUCGUGAGACAGUUUGGUCCCUAUCUGCUGUUAAGAAGAAAAAAUGUAGAACCUUGCCUUAGUACGAGAGGACUGGGAUAGACUAAUCUCUGGUUUAGCAAUUGUUUGUUCAAAGCACGUUGCAAAGCUACAUUAGGACGAGAUAACUGCUGAAAACAAUAUAAAGCGGGAAGCUCCUCUACAAGUUUUUCGUAUAAGCGACUCAGAGAACAUGAGUAAUAAGUAUAUUUUAAGUGAAUUGAUCGUGAGAUCCGGAGCUUAAA